AGUGAACGCUGGCGGUAGGCCUAACACAUGCAAGUCGAACGGCAGCACAGUAAGUGCUUGCUCUUACGGGUUGCCAGUCGCGGACGGGUGAGGAAUACAUCGGGAUCUACUUUUUCGUGGGGGAUAACGUAAGGAAACUUACGCUAAUACCGCAUACGACCUACGGUUGAAAGCAGUGGAUCUUCUGACCUUGCGCGGUUGAAUGCGCCGCUGUCGGGUUAGCUGGUUGGGGGGGUAAAGGCCCACUAAGGCGACGAUCCGUAGCUGGUCUGGGAGGAUGGUAGCCGACCUGGGAGGUGAGACACGGUCAAUACUCCUGAGGGAGGGACCAGUGGGGUACAUUGGACAAUGGGCGGGAGCAUGGUCCAGCCAUACCGAGUCGGAGAAAGAGGCCUUCGGUUUGUAAAGCCCUUUUGUUGGGAGAGAAAAGCAGUAGGUUAAUACCACGCUGGUCUGACGGUACCCAAAGAAUAAGCACCGGCUAACUUCGUG
RNAcentral lists this ribosomal RNA (492 nucleotides) under uncultured bacterium. RNAcentral describes it as "partial 16S ribosomal RNA". It matches the Rfam family "Bacterial small subunit ribosomal RNA", at positions 29 to 507 of the family's 1533-position model. The record is from RNAcentral.